AUUGAUGCGUUUAGUGAGGCCUUCUGACUGGCGCCGCUACUCUGGCAACAGAGCGGCGGAUGCCGGGAAGUUGGUCAAACUUGAUCAUUUAGAGGAAGUAAAAGUCGUAACAAGGUUUCCGUAGGUGAACCUGCGGAAGGAUCAUUACCGAUGUGAAAGAAUCCAAGGUUAAACAUCAUUAACCAGGGUGAACGGUGAAACACCUCUUUAGGGGUCGGCACAGGCGUGGGUCGUUAAAGGGCGAAUAGGUUCCUUCCGCCAGCCCCGCCAUUGGGUUUAUGAUAUCACUUUGAACGUUAAAGACUGAAAACGUAUGUAUCAGGCUUUAAAGGUAUGAGAAAAAAGGAAAAAAAAAUGAAAGACAACUUUUGACGGUGGAUCUCUGGGUUCACGUAUCGAUGAAGAACGCAGCCAGCUGCGAUAUGUAGUGUGAAUUGCAGAAUUCAGUGAAUCAUUGAAUCUUUGAACGCAAAUGGCGCUCUUGGGUUCUCCCAGGAGCAUGUCUGUCUGAGUGUCGGAUUUUAUCGAACGCACUCGUGAGUGCGGUAUUGAGGUGUCACGGCGUGUUAGCAAGCAAGCAUUAAAUCGCCGUGUCCCUUGAAGGACAGCAGCAUUGGACUCGCAUUCUCUAUUGAAACUUGAGUGCGAAGGCUAAAGAUAAUAUUUUCCUUCGCCCAAACAUGCAAUAGCAGAAACAAGAUCCAAUCAAAGCGGUGAGUGACAAUAAACAUCAAAUCUUGACCUCAGAUCAGGCAAGGCUACCCGCUGAAUUUAAGCAUAUUAAUAAGCGGAGGAAAAGAAACUAACAAGGAUUCCCUCAGUAACGGCGAGUGAAGCGGGAAUAGCUCAAAUUUGAAAUCUCCGACGCUUGCGUCGGCGAAUUGUAGUUGCGAGAAGCACUUUCUAGGCGGAUCGGUCGUGCCUAAGUUGCUUGGAACAGUACGUCAUAGAGGGUGACAACCCCGUCUGUGGCUCGGCCGGCCGCUGCAUC
Molecule: ribosomal RNA, 991 nt
Filed under: Porites pukoensis
Lineage: Eukaryota; Metazoa; Cnidaria; Anthozoa; Scleractinia; Poritidae
Description: eukaryotic LSU rRNA
Rfam family: Eukaryotic large subunit ribosomal RNA (bases 739-991)
Source: RNAcentral